GCCUCUGUAGCUCAGUUAGUUAGUUAGCACUGCACCGGAAUCGCAGGGCCGUAGGUUCAAUUCCUACCAGAGGAC
Molecule: non-coding RNA, 75 nt
Organism: Paramuricea clavata
Lineage: Eukaryota; Metazoa; Cnidaria; Anthozoa; Malacalcyonacea; Plexauridae
Source: the annotation of a GenBank genome assembly